RNAcentral lists this transfer RNA (77 nucleotides) under Dermabacter sp. RNAcentral describes it as "tRNA-Leu". It matches the Rfam family "tRNA". Rfam says of the family: Transfer RNA (tRNA) molecules are approximately 80 nucleotides in length. Their secondary structure includes four short double-helical elements and three loops (D, anti-codon, and T loops). Lineage: Bacteria; Bacillati; Actinomycetota; Actinomycetes; Micrococcales; Dermabacteraceae. The record is from RNAcentral.
GCCCCCAUAGCCCAACUGGCAGAGGCAGGAGACUUAAAAUCUUCCAAGUGCGGGUUCGAACCCCGCUGGGGGUGCCA